AUGAUUCACCCAGGCCUUGGACCUGGCAGAGUCUGGACCUACGUGUGGCUCUCACAACACUGCCAGGCUCUGCAGUCUCCUUACCUGGUAGCCAGGCACAGUAUGGAAAGGAAACCUUUCUUUUGUUUCUUUACAGAUCUGCCUGUACGCCGCGUAUCUGGGCUGCGCCGUUUAUAUCAGCCUCAAGGCUACCCCAGGGAGGUGGUUUCAGGUGCUGGCUCUGUAGCUUCUCGGUGGGUUCCUGGUGUUGAGCCUUGGAGGAAUCACAUGGGUAAGUGGUGUGUCUGGGUUUCCUCAAAGAGAUGCCAGGUGCAUCUAGAAGGCUUGGCUUAUCUGUAUCCAGCCUAUCCCAUGAAAGGUAUUUUGGAAUGUCACAAGGAUCCUAGGGUUAUGUUUUUCUUUGGAGAUGCAUUUGAUCCCUGGCUAUGGCUCGCACAGGCCUCUGCUCUGUAUCUGGCUGAAUCUGGACCUACGUGUGGCUCUCAGAUCACUAUGUCCUUGGGCACACAGCCUCUUGUCUUGUUAGGUAGAAAUGGGGAACAGAACAGGCCUAGUAUAAUCCAUGAUGAGAUGAUUUUGGACUUGCUCUGAAAGCUAGACGUCACAAGUCCAUGGGGCUGGAUGGAUUGCACCCUUGAUUGCUAAGGGAGUUGGGGGAUGUGGUUGCCACUCUCCAUCAUUCUUCAGCAGUCCUGGCUAUCCCGGAAUGUCCCGGUGGAUUGGAGACUGGCAAUGUGACGCCCAUCUUCAAAAAGGGUGGAAAGAUGAUCCUGGUAGCUACAGACCUAUUAGUCUCUCAUAGGUGCCAGGGAACAUCAUGGAAUGGAUAAUCUUGGGAGCCAUCAUGGAUCAAUUAAAGGCCAACCAGAGUAUCAGGCCCAGUCAGCAUGCGUUUAUGAAUGAUAGAUCCUGUCUGACAAACCUGAUUUCAUUCUAUGACAAGAUGACCUGCUUAGUGGAUGAAAGUAAGACACCUGAUUUGGUCUACCUGGACUUCAGUAAAGCCUUUGACACUGUCCCCCACAACAUCCUCGUGGAGAAGCUGGCUGCCCAUGGUUUGGAUAGGUGUACGCUCCACUGGGUGAAACACUGACUGGAUGUCUGGGCCCAAAGAGUGCUGGUCAAUGGAAUUAAAUCCAGUUGGCAGCCGGUCACGAGCGGUGUCUCCCAGAGCUUGGUACUGGGGCCGCUCCUGUUCAACAUCUUUAUGAAUGACCUUGAUGAGGGAAUUGAGUGCACCCUCAGUAAGUUUGCAGAUGGCACCAAGUUGGGAGGUAGUGUUGAUCUGCCUGAGGGGAGAAAGGCACUACAGAGGGACCCAGAUAGAUUAGAUUGAUGAAGCAAGGCAAACUAUGUGUUUCAAUAGGGCCAAGUGUCAGGUCCUGCAUUUUGGUCACAAUCCCAGGCAACCCUAGAGGCUUGGGAGGAGUGGCUCCCCAAAAGCUGCCUGACGGAAAGGGACCUUGAUGUACUGAUGGACAAUUGGCUCAAUAUGAGCCAGCAGUGUGCCCAGGUGGCCAAGAAACCCAACAGCAUUCUGGCUUGUAUCAGGAAUGAUGUAGUGAGCAGGACUAAGGAAGUAAUCCUACCCCUGUACUCAGCACUGAUGAGGCCUCACCUUGAGUACUGUGUUCAGUUUUGGGCACCUCAGUACAGAAAGGUGCUGGAGCAGAUCCAAAGAAGGCAACAAGGCUUGUGAAGGGCUUGGAGAAUAUGCCUUAUGAGGAGUGACUAAAGGAAAUUGGACUGUUUAGUCUGGGGAAGAGGAGGCUGAGGGGAGAUGUUACUGCUCUCUUCAAAUACCUGGAAGGUGCUGACAGCGAGAGUGGGGUUGGUCUCUUCUCACUAGUGACAAGUGACGAGGGGAAAUGGCCUCAAGUUGUGCCAGGGAAGGAUUAGGUUGGAUAUCAUGAAAAACUUCUUUACAGAAAGGGUGGUUAAGCAAUGGGAUAGGCUUCCUAGGGAGGUGGUGGAGUCACCAUCCCUGGAUGUGUUUAAAAUCCAUUUGGAUAUGGUGCUCAAGGACAUGAUUUAGCGGUGGUUUGCUAGAGUUAGGGUAGUAUGGUUAGGUUGUAGUUGGACUUGGUGAUCUUUAAUGUUUUUUCCAAUUGAGCAAUUCUAUAAUUGCAUGAUUUUAUGAUUCUAUGAUUCCCCUCACUGGGAAGCCUAGCACAAUAUUUUGUUUCUGUUUAUGAGGGUGGAUAGAGAUAGGACAAAGGGGAAUGGUUUUAAACUGAGAAAGGGGAGGCUUAGGUUGGAUAUUACGAGGAAAUUUUUCACUUAGAUGGUGGUGACACACUGGAAUGGGUUGCUCAGAGAGAUUGUGAACGCCCCAUUCCUGGAGGCAAUCAAGGCCAGGCUGGAUGUGGCUCUGGGCAACCUGGUCUGGUGGUUGGCGACCCUGCACAUAGCAAGGGGGUUGAAAGUUGGUGAUCAUUGUGGUCCUUUUCAACUCAGGCCAUUCUAUGAUUCUAUGAUUCUAUGAAUAUGUAAAGGAAACCUUUCUUUUGUUUGUUUAUAGAUUUGCCUGUAUGCCGCGUAUCUGGGCUGCGCCGUUUAUAUCAGCCUCAAGGCUACCCCAGGGGUGAGUGGUCCGUCUUUGUUCAUUUCACAGUGUCAGCAUGUACUUUCAGCCUUGUCUUCCUGUGGAAUAUAUCUUACAGUGUUGCUUGCUGAUGCUGGGGUGUGGAGAAGAGCAGAGUAGCAAUCAGGAGAGCACAGAGAUGUGCCCUGGGAUUCUUCGCCCUGCACAGCUGUGCUUGCCAGCAGCCCCAGCCUUAUGUCUCUUGAAGUGCUGAUGGCAAAGACAGCAGCAUUUGGGGCAGACUUUAGAGCUUCCUGGGGAUCCUUUCUCCCAGCCAACCUGAACAUG
This is a long non-coding RNA of Meleagris gallopavo (turkey), 2872 nucleotides long. Lineage: Eukaryota; Metazoa; Chordata; Aves; Galliformes; Phasianidae. The record is from Ensembl.